UCCACAUGCUUUCUCCAACAACAAGAAGCAAAGGUGUAUUAUGAAACUUAACUUUCUGCAGAACAAGAUUCUAUUGCACAGCAGCUGAUAAAAACAUGAAAAACGAAAAAUAUUGUUAAUUAUAUUAUGAACAGAAUUACAUCCUAUUUACGUUCAUAGCAACGUUUGAAAUCCUUUCCCUUCCUUACAAGUUAAAAUGGCAGUUUCUGGAUUAAGUAUUUGAUAGCUUACACCGAAUUUUCAUGUAUUGACAACAACAAUCAGUGGAGUAUCAUUUUUUAUCACAAAUGCUGAGUUUGCUGCCUAUCCCCCUCCCCACCCCCACCCUCCAAAGAAAAAGGAAAGAAAAAAACUGUGUAUUAUAUUUACUCUGAUGCUCUUGCCGUCAAUUUUCAGAUUCGUCGUGACAUGGAUACCAAGAUUUUAGAUGCUCUGACAUUCAACGACAUUCAAUUACUGAAGAAGGAUCAGCCAAAAACUGCCUAGACCUUAGUUGAUGUUCCAAUUCUUUUCUUGGAGGAUCAUCGAAGACGAAUAGACUGCAAUCACAAUAUAAAUCAUAUAACUUCCAAGUUGUGCUGGAAGUAAACCAAAUGCAAUUUUCCUCUUCACACUUUGUGAUACCGCAAUACAACUGGUGCUCAAUUGAUAUUGCUUUAUCGCAACUCAAUUGAGCAGAGAGAACCUGAAUGUAGGAUGGCUCAUGGUAAGGUUUGGUUGGCGAGCCUCAUUGUCUAAGGAUGUUGAGAAGUGAUCUAAAGUCUAUUGACAGAAACAAUUUUAUAUCCUGAAAUCUGCAUGAAUAAUUUAAGUCAAAAUAGCAGAGAACUUCUCACUCCUCCCUAACAUAGGUUUCUGUUUUAAACUGCAUAGAUGCGUUUCCAACGCCGCUCCCCUGCAACCCACUCUCUGAAUCUGAAAUGCAUCUACCACAGUGGCCCCACCAAGAGUGAAGCCCUUUGCAUGUGGAAUUUUGUUUUUUGAUGUGCUGUUGCGAUAAAAUAAUUCAUUUCAUCUGUAAGAAUAGGCUUCUAUGGAAAGGGAGGUAGAACUGGAGCACCGAGCUCUAGAGGCAUCCACAGCCUUGGCCAGGGCGCAGGUAUUUUCCGUCUGCAAGUACAAUCUUUUAUACGGUUACAUCAUGAAUUGUAAAUUAUGAUAAUCGUCCUUUGGUUCUUGCAUGCUGUUGGUUUUAUGACAUAGGGAUUUAGCUGUUUGUUUUAACAUAUAAUGACAAGCCAGAAUAGUAUUAGCUUGAAGAGA
RNAcentral lists this long non-coding RNA (1263 nucleotides) under Nicotiana benthamiana. RNAcentral's name for it is "long non-coding RNA (NBEN_LNC027988)". Lineage: Eukaryota; Viridiplantae; Streptophyta; Magnoliopsida; Solanales; Solanaceae. The record is from RNAcentral.